This is a long non-coding RNA of Monopterus albus (swamp eel), 581 nucleotides long. RefSeq lists it as uncharacterized. NCBI's taxonomy places the organism in Eukaryota, Metazoa, Chordata, Actinopteri, Synbranchiformes, Synbranchidae. The record is from RefSeq and is a predicted model, not a curated record. The transcript is spliced from 4 exons.
GUGUAACACCCCACAAUGUGCCCUCUAGUUCCUCUACAUGUGCCCCCAACUGCUUCCAUUGUGGCUCUGGAGCUUGUAUCAUCAACACGUGGGUGUGUGAUGGCUAUGCUGACUGUCCUGAUGGCAGCGAUGAGUUUGGAUGUCCCACAGCAUCUAAUGGAUCUGUGACGCUGGCGCCAGUACCCACACAGGCCCCUCCCCCUCCACCCUCGCCUGGCCGUUGCAGUUGGGGUCAGUUCCUGUGUCGCCGCCCUCCCCACUGCAUCCCCAACUGGCAGCGCUGUGACGGACAGCUCCACUGCCAGGAUGGCUCUGAUGAAGCCGACUGCCCCACACGUGGGCAUCUGUUCUGUAUAAACUCGACUCGCUGCUCUGAUGGUGAAGCCUGUGUGCCAGACAGUGAGAGGUGUGACGGCUUUCUGGACUGCUCCGACCACAGCGACGAGGACAAUUGCACCUCGGACUUCCUGGCCUAUAAGGUCCAGAACCUCCAGUGGACACCAGACUUCUUGGGUGCCAUUACUCUGACUUGGUCUCAUCCUAAGAACUUUCUCCUGGACUUGUGCUACUUCCUCAUCUAC